RNAcentral lists this ribosomal RNA (1603 nucleotides) under Cronobacter sakazakii. Its description in RNAcentral is "bacterial LSU rRNA". It matches the Rfam family "Bacterial large subunit ribosomal RNA", at positions 567 to 2156 of the family's 2925-position model. Lineage: Bacteria; Pseudomonadati; Pseudomonadota; Gammaproteobacteria; Enterobacterales; Enterobacteriaceae. The record is from RNAcentral.
CAAGCAGUGGGAGCCUUCGUAAGAGGGUGACUGCGUACCUUUUGUAUAAUGGGUCAGCGACUUAUAUUCUGUAGCAAGGUUAACCGUAUAGGGGAGCCGAAGGGAAACCGAGUCUUAACCGGGCGUUAAGUUGCAGGGUAUAGACCCGAAACCCGGUGAUCUAGCCAUGGGCAGGUUGAAGGUUGGGUAACACUAACUGGAGGACCGAACCGACUAAUGUUGAAAAAUUAGCGGAUGACCUGUGGCUGGGGGUGAAAGGCCAAUCAAACCGGGAGAUAGCUGGUUCUCCCCGAAAGCUAUUUAGGUAGCGCCUCGUGAACUCAUCUCCGGGGGUAGAGCACUGUUUCGGCUAGGGGGCCAUCCCGGCUUACCAACCCGAUGCAAACUGCGAAUACCGGAGAAUGUUAUCACGGGAGACACACGGCGGGUGCUAACGUCCGUCGUGAAGAGGGAAACAACCCAGACCGCCAGCUAAGGUCCCAAAGUCAUGGUUAAGUGGGAAACGAUGUGGGAAGGCCCAGACAGCCAGGAUGUUGGCUUAGAAGCAGCCAUCAUUUAAAGAAAGCGUAAUAGCUCACUGGUCGAGUCGGCCUGCGCGGAAGAUGUAACGGGGCUAAACCAUGCACCGAAGCUGCGGCAGCGACGCUUAUGCGUUGUUGGGUAGGGGAGCGUUCUGUAAGCCUGCGAAGGUGUGCUGUGAGGCAUGCUGGAGGUAUCAGAAGUGCGAAUGCUGACAUAAGUAACGAUAAAGCGGGUGAAAAGCCCGCUCGCCGGAAGACCAAGGGUUCCUGUCCAACGUUAAUCGGGGCAGGGUGAGUCGACCCCUAAGGCGAGGCCGAAAGGCGUAGUCGAUGGGAAACAGGUUAAUAUUCCUGUACUUGGUGUUACUGCGAAGGGGGGACGGAGAAGGCUAUGUCGGCCGGGCGACGGUUGUCCCGGUUUAAGCGUGUAGGCUGACUUUCCAGGCAAAUCCGGAAAGUUAAGGCUGAGGCGUGAUGACGAGGCACUACGGUGCUGAAGUGACAAAUGCCCUGCUUCCAGGAAAAGCCUCUAAGCAUCAGGUAACAUCAAAUCGUACCCCAAACCGACACAGGUGGUCAGGUAGAGAAUACCAAGGCGCUUGAGAGAACUCGGGUGAAGGAACUAGGCAAAAUGGUGCCGUAACUUCGGGAGAAGGCACGCUGACAUGUAGGUGAAGCCCCUGCGGGUGGAGCUGAAGUCAGUCGAAGAUACCAGCUGGCUGCAACUGUUUAUUAAAAACACAGCACUGUGCAAACACGAAAGUGGACGUAUACGGUGUGACGCCUGCCCGGUGCCGGAAGGUUAAUUGAUGGGGUUAUCGCAAGAGAAGCUCCUGAUCGAAGCCCCGGUAAACGGCGGCCGUAACUAUAACGGUCCUAAGGUAGCGAAAUUCCUUGUCGGGUAAGUUCCGACCUGCACGAAUGGCGUAAUGAUGGCCAGGCUGUCUCCACCCGAGACUCAGUGAAAUUGAACUCGCUGUGAAGAUGCAGUGUACCCGCGGCAAGACGGAAAGACCCCGUGAACCUUUACUACAGCUUGACACUGAACAUUGAGCCUUGAUGUGUAGGAUAGGUGGGAGGCU